CUACGGGCUGCACAGCAGUGAGGAAUAUUGCACAAUGGGGGGAACCCUGAUGCAGCAACGCCGCGUGGAGGAUGACGCAUUUCGGUGUGUAAACUCCUUUUAUAUGUCAAGAAAAUGACGGUAGCAUAUGAAUAAGCACCGGCUAACUCCGUGCCAGCAGCCGCGGUAAUACGGAGGGUGCAAGCGUUACUCGGAAUCACUGGGCGUAAAGGACGCGUAGGCGGGUUGGAAAGUCAGGUGUGAAAUCCUACAGCUUAACUGUAGAACUGCACUUGAAACUUCUAAUCUAGAGUAUGGGAGGGGGAGAUGGAAUUAGUGGUGUAGGGGUAAAAUCCGUAGAUAUCACUAGGAAUACCUAAAGCGAAGGCGAUCUCCUGGAACAUUACUGACGCUAAGGCGUGAAAGCGUGGGGAGCAAACAGGAUUAGAUACCCCCGUAGUC
This 441-nucleotide ribosomal RNA is filed under the name uncultured bacterium. RNAcentral describes it as "partial 16S ribosomal RNA". It matches the Rfam family "Bacterial small subunit ribosomal RNA", at positions 339 to 795 of the family's 1533-position model. The record is from RNAcentral.